UACAGAGGUCUCAAGCGUUGUUCGGAUUCAUUGGGCGUAAAGGGUGCGUAGGUGGCGCGGUAAGUCGGGUGUGAAAUUUCGGAGCUUAACUCCGAAACUGCAUUCGAUACUGCCGUGCUUGAGGACUGGAGAGGAGACUGGAAUUUACGGUGUAGCAGUGAAAUGCGUAGAUAUCGUAAGGAAGACCAGUGGCGAAGGCAGGUCUCUGGACAGUUCCUGACACUGAGGCACGAAGGCCAGGGGAGCAAACGGG
Molecule: ribosomal RNA, 253 nt
Filed under: uncultured bacterium
Lineage: Bacteria
Description: partial 16S ribosomal RNA
Rfam family: Bacterial small subunit ribosomal RNA
Source: RNAcentral